UGUCUCACAUCAGACCAACAGCUUCUAACUUGAAAUGUGUCAAGCAAGACAAGUCCCUCGCAACAAUAUAAACAGAUACUGCCCAUAUUGGUGUUGAGUUGUUUGUUGCAGAAGCCAUUAGAAGAGCUAUAUGAACCUCAUCAGACUAAUGGGAACGCCUGUGAAGAAGCAAUGUUACAGGAAGGACCAAAGGGAAAAAGCAAGCAAAAUAAAGGUGUUUGUGCGGAGCUCCACUGUGCCUUAGGAAUGAGAUGUCUACUAGCACUUGAAAUUUCUUGGCUUUCAUCUGAAAAUUUCUCCAGUCUUCAGGAAUGGUUGCUGUAGCUACACUUACUGUCUUGUUCUUGUCUUCCACAAUUUAUAAAGAAUCAUCGGGAGUCGCACAGAACACGCCGAAUCAGC
Molecule: long non-coding RNA, 402 nt
Filed under: Heterocephalus glaber (naked mole-rat)
Lineage: Eukaryota; Metazoa; Chordata; Mammalia; Rodentia; Bathyergidae
Description: lncRNA (ENSHGLG00000041998.1)
Source: RNAcentral